GUCGCCGUUGGCCGUCUCGGGCUCCACGCAGCGCCCCUUCCUCCGUGUGACCCUGCGGUUCCGGUGGAACUUGGCGUAGCAGCGCAGCCCUGAGCCAAGGGAGGAGGCAAGGGGUCAGGGACGCGACAGGCCAGACCCCCCUUCCUUCCCCGCGUCCUCUGGGGCCAGUCGUGGCUUCUCCCACCCUGUUUCAUGCUGCCCGACUGACUACCCGGCUCCGCAGCGGCCUGGAGCAGCUUCAAAGAGACAGAUCUUGAGUCUCCAGGAAAGAAGCAAGAAUGUUAGUGGGUCCAACCAGAGCGAGAAAGAGGGGAUGAACAGACAGGCUUUGGAUGCAGACACACCUUUUAGGUGCCUGGAAAGCAGCGUACGUCCCCUCCCACCUGAGUCCAAGGGAGUAGGAAGGACUCCUGGGCAGAGGGACCAUGCACUGAGCCACCUAUGUCUCCCUCGCCCUGGCUGGGCUGGAGUGCCCUCCUGCCUGCCCUGUGCCUUAGUCUCCUCCUCUGUGAAAUGGGACCCUAACUCUGCACACAUGUCACUGCGUCUUGCAGAAGGUGGCUUCCUAGCAUCCCCUACCCCACCUGCCUCCGUCCUCGCUCACUACCCAGGGGGUCCUCCCUGUCCCCACUCCUGGCCCCCUGAAGUCCUGCAGCCAGAGGGAGCCUUUAAACUUACAGCCCAGACCAUGUCACUCCUCUGCUUAAAACCUGCCGAUGACAUCCAAUUACAAACAGAACAAAAUCCAAACAAGGCCCACAAGGUCCUGUGUGAUCCUUCCAGAAGCUUCUCCCCACUCACCUUGUACCAUCUUCCCCUGGCUUGUUCCUGCCGAGGUCCUUGCCCUCCCAUCUUGAGGUAGCUGGCCCUGCUGCCCAGUCCUGCCCACGCUUCUGAAGCAACUCCAAGACUCACUAUCUUGGUAUUUGCGUUAGAGCCGUAUUCCUUUCUAAAGACAUCGUAUCUAUUUAUUUGCUUUUUGUCUGCUCAUCUGACUAGAACAUAAUCCCUGGGUGCAGAACUUGCCAGUUCCUCCCCACUGGAUCUCCCGUGUCCGGGAUGACACCUGACACAUAGUAGGCACUUGAUAAAUAUUUCUUAACCGACUAGAUGAAGGAAUGAUCAGAACUAAAGAGGUAUAUUGCUUUCACAGCAGGUGAGUUUUGAGGAUAAUAUGGGUAAAAUAGGGCAUGUAUCUCAGGUUAACAGAGGGGCUGGGACCAAAUUCUCCCACUCAGGAGAUGGGAAUGCUGAUGGGAUAUUGCAUGUACUGAGUAAUUAUUGUUCAGUUUUGGCAUUUUGGUUUUUAAAGGAGUACUUAUCUUUUAGUACUAUUUUAUAUGCUAAAAUAUUCACAGAUGAAAUAUCUGUAAACUCUUAGGAGUUGCUUCCAAAUCUUAUUGGAGGGAGGGAAGCGGGUGGCAGAGCGACAACAUGGACUGGCCACGAGUGGGUCAUCAUUGAAGCUGAGUGCUGGAAAGUGGGGAUCGUGGGAGAGCAUCACUCCAGCUUGUAUUUUCUCAAGAGAUGGGGAGACCGAAGCCCCAGGCAGCUGCAGGAUGGUCCCAGCCAAGCCCAAGGCCUCGCCCACCACGGGGCCAGCUCUCAGAGCCACUGUCCAUCCAGUUGGCCCAGAUUGAGCCUUUUCUCUGUGCUCAGGGCGAAAACAAUGGUUUGGAAAGGAACCAGCCUGCCAGGGAGCUGGUGGUCCGGCUUUUACGAUGCAGAUUGCUGGUUUGGUUGCUGUUUUGUAGAAUAUUCUGGCCACUGUGCUGCUAGGAUCUCUCUUUGGAAAGCGCUUGCUAUUCAGAUGGCAGUUAGCUGACAGCCUCCAGCUGUUCGCACCUGCAGGGGCCACCUGGGCCUGUGACACCCAGUUUCCCAGCAGCCCCAGCCAAUGACUAGCACUGGGGUUCCAGGGCCUCCCGUUCCUGCCCACCCCAGAGCUCUGGCUGGGACUUCCCAUCACAAUCUGGAGCUUUCUCUGAAUAGUCCUGCUUCCUCCUCCUUUUAUCUUUAGUAGGUGCUACCCUCCCCCAAAAUAAACCUCUCUUCCACUUCUA
Molecule: non-coding RNA, 2063 nt
Organism: Microcebus murinus (gray mouse lemur)
Lineage: Eukaryota; Metazoa; Chordata; Mammalia; Primates; Cheirogaleidae
Source: RefSeq, a predicted model, not a curated record